Molecule: ribosomal RNA, 273 nt
Filed under: uncultured prokaryote
Description: partial 16S ribosomal RNA
Rfam family: Bacterial small subunit ribosomal RNA
Source: RNAcentral
UACGGAGGGUGCGAGCGUUAAUCGGAAUGACUGGGCGUAAAGCGUGCGUAGGUGGUAACGUUAGUCGGCCGUGAAAGCCCUGGGCUUAACCUGGGAAUGGCGGUUGAAACGGCGUAACUGGAGUGGGCUAGAGGACUGUGGAACUCCCGGUGUAGCGGUGAAAUGCGUAGAGAUCGGGAAGAACACCGAUGGCGAAGGCAGCGGUCUGGGGCCACACUGACGCUGAGGCACGAAAGCGUGGGGAGCAAACAGGAUUAGAAACCCUCGUAGUCC